RNAcentral lists this ribosomal RNA (323 nucleotides) under uncultured eukaryote. RNAcentral describes it as "partial 18S ribosomal RNA". It matches the Rfam family "Eukaryotic small subunit ribosomal RNA", at positions 1470 to 1796 of the family's 1831-position model. The record is from RNAcentral.
CCCUUAGAUGUUCUGGGCCGCACGCGCGCUACACUGAUGCAUGCAACGAGUUCUAUCCUUGGCCGGAAGGCCUGGGUAAUCUGUGAACGUGCAUCGUGAUAGGGAUAGAUUAUUGCAAUUAUUAAUCUUGAACGAGGAAUUCCUAGUAAACGCAAGUCAUCAGCUUGCAUUGAUUACGUCCCUGCCCUUUGUACACACCGCCCGUCACACCUACCGAUCGAAGGUAAUGAUGAGCCCUCAGGAUUGUGGCCUCGUCGCGUCAGCGUCUUGGCUGCGAGAAUCUGUGCAAAUCCCUACCUUUAGAGGAAGGUGAAGUCGUAACA